RNAcentral lists this ribosomal RNA (253 nucleotides) under uncultured bacterium. RNAcentral describes it as "partial 16S ribosomal RNA". It matches the Rfam family "Bacterial small subunit ribosomal RNA", at positions 524 to 776 of the family's 1533-position model. The record is from RNAcentral.
UACGGAGGGUGCAAGCGUUGUCCGGAAUCAUUGGGCGUAAAGAGUUCGUAGGCGGCAUAUCAAGUCUGGUGUUAAAUCCUGGGGCUCAACCCCAGUUCGGCACUGGAUACUGGUAAGCUAGAAUGUGGUAGAGGUAAAGGGAAUUCCUGGUGUAGCGGUGAAAUGCGUAGAUAUCAGGAGGAACACCGGUGGCGUAAGCGCUUUACUGGGCCAUAAUUGACGCUGAGGAACGAAAGCCGGGGGAGCAAAUGGG